Molecule: ribosomal RNA, 460 nt
Filed under: uncultured bacterium
Lineage: Bacteria
Description: partial 16S ribosomal RNA
Rfam family: Bacterial small subunit ribosomal RNA
Source: RNAcentral
CCUACGGGUGGCAGCAGUGAGGAAUAUUGGUCAAUGGGCGGGAGCCUGAACCAGCCAAGUCGCGUGAGGGAUGACGGCCCUAUGGGUUGUAAACCUCUUUUGCCGGGGAGCAAAGUGCCGCACGUGUGCGGUUUGGAGAGUACCCGGAGAAAAAGCAUCGGCUAACUCCGUGCCAGCAGCCGCGGUAAUACGGAGGGGGCAAGCGUUAUCCGGAAUUACUGGGUGUAAAGGGAGCGUAGACGGUGAUGUAAGUCUGGAGUGAAAGGCGGGGGCCCAACCCCCGGACUGCCCUGGAAACUAUGUGACUGGAGUGCGGGAGAGGUGAGCGGAAUGCGUAGUGUAGCGGUGAAAUGCGUAGAUAUUAGGAGGAACACCAGUGGCGAAGGCGGCUCACUGGACUGUAACUGACGUUGAGGCUCGAAAGCGUGGGGAGCAAACAGGAUUAGAUACCCGGGUAGUC